Molecule: ribosomal RNA, 405 nt
Filed under: uncultured soil bacterium
Lineage: Bacteria
Description: bacterial SSU rRNA
Rfam family: Bacterial small subunit ribosomal RNA
Source: RNAcentral
AGGACGAACGCUGGCGGCGUGCUUAAUACAUGCAAGUCGAGCGAGAAGCCACCGCUCCGUAAGGAGUGGUGGUGGAAAGCGGCGAACGGGUGAGUAACACGUGGGUAAUGUGCCCUGAACAUCGGGAUAACAGCGGGAAACCGCUGCUAAUACCGAAUAACCCUGCAAUGUCGCAUGACGAAGCAGGCAAAGUUCCGGCGGUUCAGGAUCAGCCCGCGGUGUAUCAGCUUGUUGGUGGGGUAACGGCCUACCAAGGCUUUGACGCAUAGCUGGCGUGAGAGCGCGACCAGCCACACUGGGACUGACGACACGGCCCAGACUCCGUACGGGAGGCAGCAGUAGGGAAUCUUGCGCAAGUGGGACGAAAGCCUGACGCAGCGACGCCGCGUGAGGAUGAAUGCCGUU